Molecule: non-coding RNA, 863 nt
Organism: Petromyzon marinus (sea lamprey)
Lineage: Eukaryota; Metazoa; Chordata; Hyperoartia; Petromyzontiformes; Petromyzontidae
Source: RefSeq, a predicted model, not a curated record
UGAGGGUGGUGGUGAAGGUGGUGGUGGUGAGGGUGGUGGUGGUGGUGGUGAGGGUGAGCAGCCUGACCUGGUGGGACUCCUUCACCGCGUGCCACAGCUGAUGGAGAAGUUCGACCACGUGGUGGAGAUGCUGACUCAGCUGCAGACAAUGGAAUCCGAGUUCAAGGCUUUCAAACAACAGGUUGAGCUGAUGGUCACGCGACAACAACAACAACAACGUCAUCAACAUCAACAACAACAUCAUCAACAACAACAACGUCAUCAACAACAACAUCAUCAACAACAACAUCAACAUCAACAAAAACAACGACAUCAACAACAUCAACAACAACAACAACGUCAUCAACAUCAACAACGUCGUCGGAACGAUAGCAGCCUCAUCAUCGGCUCCACCUCCCCACCAGGAGCAUCAUCAUCAUCAGCAUCAUCAUCAUCAGCAGUAGCAGCAUCAUCAUCAGCAGUAGUAUCAUCAUCAUCAGCAGUAGUAUCAUCAUCAGCAGUAGUAGCAUCAUCAGCAGCGUCAUCAUCAUCAGCAGUAACAUCAUCGUCUGCGUCAUUAUCAUCAGCAUCAGUAGCAUCAUCAUCAGCAGCAGCAUCAUCAGCAGCAGCAUCAUCAGCAGGAGCUAUGUGCCGAAGUGACAGGAUGUGAUGGAGUGACUCCGAUGAACCGGGCUCCGCUUCAGUCCCUGCCAAGCUCCUCCUCCGUCUCUGCACUCGGUCCACUCAGCCUUAAAUUCUGGGAAUUAGAGAGGACUCCCCCGAUGGAGGAUGGUGAUGGUGGUUGUGGUGAUUGUGGUGGCGGUGAUUGUGGUGGCGGUGAUGGUGGUGGUGAUGUUGAUGGAGGUGAUGGUGGUGGUGGUGGU